CCUACGGGUGGCAGCAGUGAGGAAUAUUUGUCAAUGGGCGCGAGCCUGAACCAGCCAAGUCGCGUGAGGGAGGACGGCCCUACGGGUUGUAAACCUCGUUUGACGGGGAGCAACGGGCGCCACGUGUGGCGUCACUGAGAGUACCCGGAGAAAAAGCAUCGGCUAACUCCGUGCCAGCAGCCGCGGUAAUACGGAGGAUGCGAGCGUUCUCCGGAUGUAUUGGGUUUAAAGGGUGCGUAGGCGGAUCGUUAAGUCAGUGGUCAAAUUGAGGGGCUCAACCCCUUCCCGCCAUUGAAACUGGCGUUCUUGAGUGGAAGAGAAGUAUGCGGAAUGCGUGGUGUAGCGGUGAAAUGCAGAGAUAUCACGAAGAACACCGAUUGCGAAGGCAGCAUGCCGGCUUCCGACUGACGCUGAAGCACGAAAGCGUGGGGAUCGAACAGGAUUAGAUACCCUUGUAGUC
Molecule: ribosomal RNA, 460 nt
Filed under: uncultured bacterium
Lineage: Bacteria
Description: partial 16S ribosomal RNA
Rfam family: Bacterial small subunit ribosomal RNA
Source: RNAcentral